Molecule: long non-coding RNA, 1480 nt
Organism: Parambassis ranga (Indian glassy fish)
Lineage: Eukaryota; Metazoa; Chordata; Actinopteri; Ambassidae
Source: Ensembl
CAUUUAGCUAUUUAUUUAAAGUAUUAAAAUUACAAACAGACCCUGUAUCAAGUCUUACAAUUGAAUCAAAUAUAAAUUACAUUUAAUCAUAUUUGUCUAUCUACUGGUUAUAUAUCUAGCGUUUGCUCAGUAGCUGGUAUAUUAAUUAUGAUCAAUAAUAUGGUUAAACAGCAGCUUACCGUCACCUCCCCACUGCGCUCUCCCAGCCUGAAGAAAAUGAGCCGUCACCGGUUUUGCUGCCGCUGGAGCCGCCUCUCCUCUUCCUCCAACAACAAAUAAAUAUAUUAAAAAAUUCCAAAUGUCUAAAUCCACACUGUUGUCCCGUUUGUUGUCUAGUCCGUGUUGUGUCGCUGUCGCUGCUUUUGUUUUUCCCGGGGCAAAAUUUAUGACGUCGCGCCACAAUCAGGAAGUGCUUUGAAGGCCAGACCGUCCCAUUUACCAACGGUGGAGGAUCCUCCGGAGGAUCCUCAGGAGGACGCGGCCUCCUGAGACCGCGUAGGCUGCGUCCUCCGAAGGAUGCAGACCCUGAAAUGGGACACAGCCGCUGUCUCCUACCUGCGCUCACAGGCACGCUGCCCCGCUGCUGUCUGAUUGGACAGCGGCGAGUCACGCGGUGACUGCGUCAGUUCAAACAAACUUUAUUGAUGUGAAGUCGUUAACAGCAGCAACAGGUUCAGCUCACACAAACAUGUGUGUGUGUGUUUGUGUUUGUGUGUCUGUGUGUCAGUUUGAAACUUAGAGCUCCUCCUCCUCCUCCUCUUCCUCCUCUUCCUCCUCCUCCUCCCUGAGAACACUGUGUGCAUGUAAACAAAGUGUCAAACCUGCAGCAGAUCUUUCCGGGCUUUACUCUCAAAUGCAGCCGUUUUUACUGUGCGUGGUGUUCCUGCACCUCUCUCUGCUGUCUGCAUUGGACGAUCACAGAGCGGAGACGGUCCGGCCUGGACAGGACGUCCCUCUUCAGUGUCAGGGUCCUGGCGGGGAAGUGGUCACUCUGCUGGAGUGGAGCCGGUCCGACCUCAAGGAGGACGGCUACGUCUUCUUCUACAGGAACAGCCGCUCGUAUGAAAACUACCAGCACUCAUCUUUCAGAGGACGGGUGCAGCUCAGAGACCUGUCCAUGAAGGACGGGGAUGUGUCUGUGGUCCUCCAGAACGCCAACCUCAACGACAGCGGCGUGUACGAGUGCAGAGUCAUCAGCAGCACGGAGAGCGGAGGCCGCAGUCAGGUCAGCUGUUCGGUCCAUGUGACGGUGAUGGAGACCACAACAGUGACGUCAACAGUGACGUCUUCAGGUCUCCAAGAGAAGGACGGCAGAGACAAGGGGACAAACGGGGACACAAGUCUUCUUGUUGUUGUUGUAGUUCCUGUUGUGUUGCUUGUUGUUGUUGUUGUUGUUUGUGUUGUUGUUUGUGUUGUGUGUGUCAGAAGACACAGCAGGUCACCAAAGUACAACCUGUCAGCUGAGACGGAGAAGGCCUGA